UCACUUUGGCAGCCAAUAUAUUAAGAUUGAAACAAUACAGAGGAGAUUAGCAUGGCCCCUGUGCAAGGAUGACAUACAAAUUCGUGAAACAUUCCAUAUUUUA
Molecule: small nuclear RNA, 103 nt
Organism: Lepus europaeus (European hare)
Lineage: Eukaryota; Metazoa; Chordata; Mammalia; Lagomorpha; Leporidae
Source: RefSeq, a predicted model, not a curated record